GGCUACCUGGCGCAAUGGUAGCGCGUUUGGCUUCGAUUGCCGAAUCUACCAAAAGGUUGCAGGUUCGAGUCCUGCGGUGGUCA
RNAcentral lists this transfer RNA (83 nucleotides) under Lentinula edodes (shiitake mushroom). It matches the Rfam family "tRNA". From Rfam's summary of the family: Transfer RNA (tRNA) molecules are approximately 80 nucleotides in length. Their secondary structure includes four short double-helical elements and three loops (D, anti-codon, and T loops). Lineage: Eukaryota; Fungi; Basidiomycota; Agaricomycetes; Agaricales; Omphalotaceae. The record is from Rfam by way of RNAcentral.